Molecule: ribosomal RNA, 449 nt
Filed under: uncultured bacterium
Lineage: Bacteria
Description: bacterial SSU rRNA
Rfam family: Bacterial small subunit ribosomal RNA
Source: RNAcentral
AACGAACGCUGGCGGCAUGCCUAACACAUGCAAGUCGAACGAAGCCUUCGGGCUUAGUGGCGCACGGGUGCGUAACGCGUGGGAAUCUGCCCUUGGGUUCGGAAUAACAGUUAGAAAUGACUGCUAAUACCGAAUGAUGUCUUCGGACCAAAGAUUUAUCGCCCAAGGAUGAGCCCGCGUCGGAUUAGCUAGUUGGUGAGGUAAAGGCUCACCAAGGCGACGAUCCGUAGCUGGUCUGAGAGGAUGAUCAGCCACACUGGGACUGAGACACGGCCCAGACUCCUACGGGAGGCAGCAGUGGGGAAUAUUGGACAAUGGGCGAAAGCCUGAUCCAGCAAUGCCGCGUGAGUGAUGAAGGCCUUAGGGUUGUAAAGCUCUUUACCCGAGAUGAUAAUGACAGUAUCGGGAGAAUAAGCUCCGGCUAACUCCGUGCCAGCAGCCGCGGUAAU